CAAAAGAUAGUUUAAUUAAAAUAUUAAUUUUGGGGAUUAAUGAUAGAGAAUUUUCUUUUCUUUUGA
This 66-nucleotide transfer RNA is filed under the name Norellisoma spinimanum. Its description in RNAcentral is "tRNA-Pro". The record is from RNAcentral. Lineage: Eukaryota; Metazoa; Arthropoda; Insecta; Diptera; Scathophagidae.